AUUGAACGCUGGCGGCAUGCUUUACACAUGCAAGUCGAACGGUAACAGGCCGCAAGGUGCUGACGAGUGGCGAACGGGUGAGUAAUGCAUCGGAACGUGCCCAGUCGUGGGGGAUAACUACUCGAAAGAGUAGCUAAUACCGCAUACGAUCUAUGGAUGAAAGCGGGGGACCGUAAGGCCUCGCGCGAUUGGAGCGGCCGAUGUCAGAUUAGGUAGUUGGUGGGGUAAAGGCUCACCAAGCCAACGAUCUGUAGCUGGUCUGAGAGGACAACCAGCCACACUGGGACUGAGACACGGCCCAGACUCCUACGGGAGGCAGCAGUGGGGAAUUUUGGACAAAGGGCGCAAGCCUGAUCCAGCAAUGCCGCGUGCAGGAAGAAGGCCUUCGGGUUGUAAACUGCUUUUGUACGGAACGAAACGGCUCUGGUUAAUACCCGGGGCUAAUGACGGUACCGUAAGAAUAAGCACCGGCUAACUACGUG
Molecule: ribosomal RNA, 482 nt
Filed under: uncultured bacterium
Lineage: Bacteria
Description: partial 16S ribosomal RNA
Rfam family: Bacterial small subunit ribosomal RNA
Source: RNAcentral